GGAAGGAUCAUUACCACACCGAUCCAACGAUCAAUACCCCUGUGAAGUUGUGUUAGUUCUUGUCUUUUUUCUAUUUGAGAUGUAAAGAGGAGUUGAUUGCCCCCCAAUUGGGCGGCGGUUUUUCUCUUUUUCAUUCUUUUACCCACAAACUACGAUUUAUAUAAAACCUUCAACUAUUUAUGGUUGAAAUUGAAAAAACAUAAAAGCGCUACUUUUUUCUUUUUCUUUUGUUUUGUUUUAACUUCUCAUCCUUUUUAUGGAUUUGAUUUUGAAAAAGAAUACAAGAAAAAGAGUAGUUGCCAAAAUAUUUUAAAAACUGAAAACAACUUUCAGCGAUGGAUAUCUUGGCUCUCGCAACGAUGAAGAACGCAGCGAAAUGCGAUACGUAAUGCGAAUUGCAGAAUUCAGUGAAUCAUCAAAACUUUGAACGCAAAUUGCGCUUCCGGGUAUCCCUGGGAGCAUGUCUGUAUGAGUGUCUGUUGACACCACUCACGUCUUUUCUUGUUUUUUUUGUCAUUUUACUUACCAAGUUGAUGAUAAAUGAUGGGGAGAUGUGGAUUUUGAGAUGUCCUAGGAUUUUUUUUCUAUAAAAAGUUCUAUGUCUCUUGAAAUGCCGAGUAAACCUGAAUUCUUAUUACCUCUUUUUUCCAAAAAGAUGUAUGAGAUGGAAAAAAAAAUACAAGACAACGAAAAACUCGCUCAAGCGUGGUAGUUGUGUACUUGUGACACAUCCCUAACGCUGUGAGUACAAAGUUUCUCUGCUGUUUUUGCUUUUUUUCUUGAAACUUUUUUACAAGUGGUUUACCGCAAAGAGAAACCAGGGUCGAAAAGGAAAGAACCAAAUUAUUCUUCCCUCCUAAAACCUUGGCCAACACCCCUUCUUCUUGGACCUCAUAUCAGACAAGAGGACCCGCUGAAUUUAAGCAUAUAACUAAGCGGAGGAAAAGAAACUAACCAGGAUUCCCCUAGUAACGGCGAGUGAAGCGGGAAGAGCUCAACUUGAAAAUCGGUGCGGCCCCGCCGCAUUGAAUUGUAGUCUAUAGAAGCUGUUGUCAGUCAAGCUCUCGGGAGAAGUCUCUUGGAACAGGGCAUCAUAGAGGGUGACAAUCCCGUCUGUGCCCGGGAACGCUUGACGUACGAUACGCUUUCAACGAGUCGAGUUGCUUGGGACUGCAGCUCAAAAUGGGUGGUAAAUUCCAUCUAAAGCUAAAUAUUGGCGAGAGACCGAUAGCGAACAAGUACCGUGAGGGAAAGAUGCAAAGAACUUUGAAAAGAGAGUUAAAAAGUACUUGAAAUUGCUGAAAGGGAAGCGAAUCAAAUCAGUGUUGAUGCGUCGUUAUCUUUCAGUGGAGAGUUGCACUUGGUGCUGUAUGUUGAUGAGGGGUCAAAUCCCAUCGCUAUAGUAUUUCCUUUGUGCCCUUUCCGCUGCGCUGUAACGAUGCGUAACUCAGCAUCAGUUCAUAUCUCGCGGGAUAUAGCUAGUGAGGAGGUAGAGUACGGCUCGUUUCGUGCUUAUUAUAGCUUACUAGUUGUGUCGUGGGAAGGACUGAGGUUUUCUUCACAGUAUACGCCUUUUUGGCUGGGCUUGCUACGUUCUGAUAUGCUGCAUAAUCUGGACUGCUCGUCAGUGCUUGUUGUGUAACGUGUGUUACAGCGUGGUUUUUAGCCCAUGUAUGCUCGGGAUGCUGAGGAAAUGGUUUGAUCCGGCCCGUCUUGAAACACGGACCAAGGAGUCUAACAUCUAUGCAAGUAUUCGGGUGGUAAACCCUUGUGCGCAAUGAAAGUGAAGGUUGAUGUAGGUCAACUUAGGUAGGACGGGUGGCUUUUUCAUGGUCGCCCCGCACUAUCGACCGGCCAUGAUCCUCUGGAGAAAGGUCUGAGUGUGAGCAUAUGUGUUGGGACCCGAAAGAUGGUGAACUAUGCCUGAAUAGGGUGAAGCCAGGGGAAACUCUGGUGGAGGCUCGUAGCGAUUCUGACGUGCAAAUCGAUCGUCAAAUUUGGGUAUAGGGGCGAAAGACUAAUCGAACCAUCUAGUAGCUGGUUACCUC
Molecule: unclassified non-coding RNA, 2048 nt
Filed under: uncultured fungus
Lineage: Eukaryota; Fungi
Description: sequence contains 18S rRNA gene, ITS1, 5.8S rRNA gene, ITS2, 28S rRNA gene
Rfam family: Eukaryotic large subunit ribosomal RNA (bases 887-2048)
Source: RNAcentral